This is a long non-coding RNA of Gasterosteus aculeatus aculeatus (three-spined stickleback), 643 nucleotides long. Lineage: Eukaryota; Metazoa; Chordata; Actinopteri; Perciformes; Gasterosteidae. The record is from Ensembl.
GUCCACCUCAUUACUUACUUAUUACUUUUUGCAUACCAUUAUUGUCUACGGAUACUACAUCUACAUCAACAACUUGGGGUUGAUUUGUUCUCCUAUAGUUUCUAGCUUGUCUUGACAGAAUACACUCAUUACUUGCCACUGCGCUAAAGUACAUUCAUCAAUAUUGUCUCAAAUUCUUGGAGGACAUCUUUUCAGCUAUGCUAAUCAUCCUGUUUUGGGCAUGAGCUGCCCCUCUAAAGGUCACAGUUCAAUUAGACAAUUUCAUUCCAGUGGUCCGGACUGUAAAAAACACACUUCUCUGUGUAUAUAAAGGAUACUGUGUGAGAAUUGGUAGGAAAGGCGUGCAAUUUAGAGGACGUUGUCGUAGAAACAUGAGAGGAUUUGAUGGCGGUAGUGCUUGAAGCCACAGUGGAGACGAUCAACCAUCGGACGAAGAAUAUGGAUGCCUGUCUUUAAAAGUCAUAUGGACAGGAAACACAACACAAAGCUCACAGAGGGAGGAGACAGGCGGCAGAGAAUCGAGGGAUCUUCGAGUUAAACAACAGGAUUUCGGCGACACUCGUGGAGGCUUUGUCGCCUUUGUAGCAGAGGCCACAGUGAACAUACCAGUCAUCCAGUGCAGCCGGGCAGGCAGUCAAUCAAG